AGUCCCAUAAGCAAGGGUACCCUCCAGCCAGAUAUGUGGGUAGUCACCCCCUCAAAUCAAUGGGAUUGGGUUGCUCUUCGAGCAAUGAUAGAAAAGAAUGAAGUAAGGAAUUCCCUUCUUGUAGCCAAAUUCUUGGAAAUAAUGAAUGCUUUGAGCCAUAGACUUCCAACAUUUACACCUGCAGAGUUCUAAGUGUUGAAUUUGUUGUGGUAAACAAACAUCUUCUUCAUGACUUAACUGGGAUGGGUCUUUGGUCACCACUUAACGGCCCAAUGGCGAAAAUCAAUGCCAAUUCAACAGUGUAUUGCAAAAAAAAAAGAAGAAGAAGAAAUAACAGUAACUUUAUUACUCAAAAAUAUUUCCCUGAUUUACUGUAACUUGGUGGUAUGAAUUUCUUGCUGGCAGUGGAGUGUUCUCCAUCGAUUCCCACAGUUAUAAUUGGAAUGGAUGUUUCCCAUGGUAUUUUCAGGAAUUCAUUCUUUUCACACAAAAAAGUAUAACCAGCCUGUCACAUACAGGUUACUGCAAUAGUUACAACGAAUCUGAACAUAAUUAUUGAUGUUAACUUUCAUCCCGUCAAAACUGCUAAGAACUCUAAUUUGUGACGGGCCCAAUGGGAUUGGUGUCCAAGGUCUUGCUGACACAUUCAUUUUACUCGGCAUGGCUUUUGAUUCACCAGAGGCCCAGGAUCUAAACAAAGAACCAUGCUCUGAAUGCUUAAGAACCAGAUUAUAUAUGAGGAUGGAUCUGUGCAGAAAAUCCCUGAAAUUUCUGACGAGCUUAAAUUAAUCUACAAGACUGUUUGGGAGAUCAAGCAAAGGACUUUGGUUGAUAUGGGUGCUGAUCGUGAUGCUACAUAGACCAGAGCCAAAGCCUUAUUGCCAUCUUCUAUUUAAUUUCCUUCAACUUACUAAUAUUGUAAUGCUUCCUUGCUUUGCAGUAGUUUGAAAUGUAAGUAACCAUUUUUAUUUUUUUUAAUUGUUUUUUCAGGAUUUAUUGGAGAUGAAUGUUUCUUUGAGAAUGAAACAUGUUUUAGAGACCGAUAACAAUUUGAUGAACAAAAGGCUCUUGCUCUACAAUUGAGGGAGUCGUUGCUGGGGAAUAAAGCAAAAGAACAUGGCGGCAGAGGGAAGGAACCGCCCGGUACUUAGGGAUAUUGGCAAUAUGGUUACCCUUUGAGGGGCUUAAGGCAAUCAGGUGUCUCGCCCCCUCACAAGGGAUUUUUGUGCACAACUGCUGGCUAAUGCACAAGCUGCAGCAGCUGACAAGAACAAGAAAUGUAUUGGUGCUGUGAAUGUGGAUGGAGUUACUGCUGCAAAUGGAGGUGCCUAGAAAGCCUCAUUCUCAGAAGAGAGCUAUUGUGAAGCCAAUCAAGCCUGAAGCUGUGAUUGUAAUCAGCCUUGACACUAAAAAUGGAGAAAUGGAGUACACUCAAUCAGCCUCUGCAGAAAGGUAGCAGCUGAAGAUUCAUCUAGAAAGACUUGGGGGUUGUUUACCAAAAUGGAGAAAUGGAGGAGUGUGAGAAAACAUGGGUGAACAAUGGCAUAGUACGGAGAGGCUGCUUGUGGACUGAACAUUAAAUUACCAAAGGAGAAGAUUGAAGAUAUUGAUGCUGGAGAUGUGUACAAUGAGUUGGCAGUUGUGGAGUAUGCAGAAGACACUUACAAGUUCUACAAGGAAGCUGAGGUUUAAGUUAACAGAUGCAUGAAAUCAAUGUAUUUCGGAAUGGUAUCGCAUGAUUCGCAAAAAGCUAGCAUUCAUUAUUUUAAUGCAAUAGAGUACAAGGUGCAUUCAUAUAACCGUAAUGGCUUAUGUGCGUUGGGUUUUAUGGAUGAUCCCUACCCGGUUCGAAGUGCUUUUUCAAUGCUAAAUCAGGUCGUGGAUGAGUACCAAAAAAAUUUUGGUGAGACAUGGAGAUUUGCUCAAUCUGAUAGUACUCAACAAUGGUCUUAUUUAUUUGAAGCUCUAAAUAAAUUUCAGGAUCUUGCGGAAGCUGACAAGCCGUUGUGAGUAAUGUGCGCGGCUCAACGGCUACUGAAAAUCAAUGCCAAUUCAACAGUGUGUUGCAAAACAAGAAGAAGAAGAAAUAACAGUAACUUUAUUACUCAAAAAUAUUUCCCUGAUUUAUUGUAACUUGGUGGUAUGAAUUUCUUGCUGGCAGUGGAGUGUUCUCAAUCGAUUCCCACAGUUAUAAUUGGAAUGGAUGUUUCCCAUGGUAUUUUCAGGAAUUCAUUCUUUUCACACAAAAAGUAUUAAGUAUAACCAGCCUGACACAGCCCAUUAGGAUUGGUGUCCAAGGUCUUGCUGACACAUUUAUUUUACUCCGCAUGGCUUUUGAUUAACCAGAGGCCCAGGAUCUAAACAAAGAACCAUGCUCUGAAAGCUUAAGAACCAGAUUAUAUAUGAGGAUGGAUCUGUGCAGAAAAUCCCUGAAAUUCCUGACGAGCUUAAAUUAAUCUACAAGGAAUUCUCUCAUCCAUUUUAUUCUUUCAUAUUCUUCUCUCCAUUCAUUGGCUAAUACAGAGUAUAAUGUACUCAUGUUAGGACUGUGGGAGAUCAAGCAAAGGACUUUUGUUGAUAUGGCUGCUGAUCGUGAUGCUACAUAGACCAGAGCCAAAACCUUAACAUCCAUAUGGACCAACCCAAUUUUGGAAAGCUUACUUCCAUGCAUUUUUAUGCUUGGUCUAGGGGUCUGAAAACUGGAAUGUAUUGGCUGAUGGUAUCAAGUUCACUGUUGAUACUUCCAUGCUCAAAGUGGCCCCCCAUUGCUGCUAUCAUUUCCUCUUAUUGCCAUCUUCUAUUUAAUCUCCUUCAACUUACUAAUAUUGUAAUGCUUCCUUGCUUUGCAGGAGUUUUGAAAUGUAAGUAACAAUUUUUAUUUUUUUUAAUUGUUUUUUCAGGAUUUAUUGGAGAUGAAUGUUUCUUUGAGAAUGAAACAUGUUCUAGAGACCGAUAACAAUUUGAUGAACAAAAGGCUCUUGCUCUGCAAAUUAGGUGGAUGUCGCAGUCGACGAUCGGCACCUUGGUAAAGUCGGCAAUCUCGUUAAACAGCGAAGUAAGCAGUUCUGGGCUUCUAGGUUCUCUAUUCUUGCGUCGCAACAAGGGAAGAGAGGUUUUGACGUUAAUUGAAAUUUUAGGUUUUGACUCUUUUUUAAUCUGACGAUCUGGCUUGACAGUCUGAUGGGUUAGCCCAACUCAACCCAAUAGCUUUAUAUGGCUAGUUCAAUUAGCUUGCUUUUUAUUGGGUUGAUUUUUUUUGGGUUUUAACCCUAUAACUUUUAGAGCUUAUUGGGCCAGCCUUUUGGUUUUGGGAUAAA
Ipomoea triloba (trilobed morning glory) is the source of this 3317-nucleotide RNA transcript. It is a transcript of the gene named ribonucleoside-diphosphate reductase large subunit-like, with no coding region annotated. The record is from RefSeq and is a predicted model, not a curated record. NCBI's taxonomy places the organism in Eukaryota, Viridiplantae, Streptophyta, Magnoliopsida, Solanales, Convolvulaceae. The transcript is spliced from 18 exons.